Molecule: long non-coding RNA, 1787 nt
Filed under: Mus musculus (house mouse)
Lineage: Eukaryota; Metazoa; Chordata; Mammalia; Rodentia; Muridae
Description: long non-coding RNA chr9:46073750-46075537
Source: RNAcentral
AGAACUUAGAAUCUCUUGAACUUUUUCAAUCAUGCUCUUUUUGCCUUUGGCUUUGAUGAAAGUACUGUGGUCCUAUUGUCUCUCCCUUGGUUACAACCAAAGUUAUGACCAGGAACCUAGGAACCACCUCAAUUAGCACCUUAGUAGGCUGACUCUAGUGUGUGUGUGUGUGUGUGUGUGUGUGUGUGUGUGUGUGUAGCAGCGUGUAGAGUGGGAAUAACAAUGUUCUUUACUUAGGUUUGAUUUUUACCAUUAACGUUUUGUUUUGUUUUGUUUUUUUGGUCAGGGUCUCACUAUGUAGCCCUGACUGACUUGGAAACUCAACUAUGUAGACCAGGCUGGCCUUGGAACUUACCGAGAUCUUGCCUCUGCCUCCCGAGUGCUGGGAUUAAAGGUACAUGCCUCAUGCUCCACCAAGUUUUAAAAACUGGAAACAUGGGCAUGUGGAGAUGGUUGAAUGGCUGAGAAUGCUUGGUGAUCGAGCAAAGGGCUAGCUUUCACUUCCUGACAUACAUAUCAGGUAGUUUACAACUAACUGCCCUUCAGGUGAGCUCCGGGGACCCCGCUCAUGUGUCCGUGUUCUGUCUGGUGGGCCGUCUAGUGUGCUUUUUGCACUGCCUUGGACUUGGAGACAAACACGUUCUAGAGAAACUAGACAUAUGCUAAGGGCAGAUUAUGUGAUGGAAUAAUUGUAAUCAGUAUGCUCAUUCUUGUGUGAGAAAGGCCUACACUACUGCUAAAUAAAAUUAUUUUGAGUUCUUGAAGAGGGUAUAUUUAGAUCUUUUUCCUUUUUCUUUUUCCCUUUAACAAAUUGUAGAGAAAAAAAUAAACCAUGAGUUAUUUCCUAAACUAUCUGCCAUGAAGAGUGCCAUGUAGUAGCUCGAUUUUUGACACCUGUCUCAAGUGGUUUGCUUCUUCUCUAAGUCACAGUGAAGGCGGAUCUGGGUGCAGGCCUGGGAGCCCAGCUUCUCAGAAGGCUGAGACCAAGAUGGUGAAAGUUCAAGGCCAGCCUGAGCUACUUAGUGAGACCCUGUAGGGGAAAAAAGGCCUGGGGAAGUCACUUGCCUAGAGUUCACAAGGCCCCAGCUUCAGUCCUCAGCACAGAGACAGCUGUGAGAGAGAGCGCAGCCCUCUGCCUCACACAGGGCUGCUGUGGCCCUGUAUUUCCUCGGGUCCUUCUUUCUAAGUAUUUCUUUCCUUGAGAUUCUUUAAGACUAUUUCCAUGCUUCAGUAUCUUAAUUUCAGGAAAUGAUGCAUAUUGUUUAUGUUAUCAUGAGACUCUGAGUAUCCAUGUUAAUGGUUUUUAUUUGCUUUUUCCUUUCAUUUUCUUUCCUUUUAUCUAUAUAAUCUUAUCUAUCUAUCUAUCUAUCUAUCUAUCUAUCUAUCUAUCUAUCUAUCUAUCUAUCCAUCCAAACACUUCAUGUAUCCCAGGCUGGCUUGAACUUGCUGAGUUGUAAGGAAUGUCCUUGAAUAUCUGAUCUUACCUUCACCUCCCAAGUGCUAGGAUUGUAAGAAUGAGCUGCUAGGUUGGCUUUUAUGGUGCUAGGCAUAAAACCCCAGGGCUUUUUACAAGUACUCUAUCAAGGUAUCUUUUCAUUUUCUCUUGUUCCAAAAGAAUGUGUCUUGGGUUCUAGCAAAGUACAUAUGUUACACACAUGAGUAGUGAAGACUGAUUUAGUUAGACAUGGUGAUGUGUGCCUGUAAUCACAGCCCUUGGGAGGCUGACGCAAGACUACUUGCCUCAGCAAUUUUGGGUCAACCUAGUUAACUUAAUGAGUCUCUGUCUU